This 251-nucleotide ribosomal RNA is filed under the name uncultured bacterium. RNAcentral's name for it is "partial 16S ribosomal RNA". It matches the Rfam family "Bacterial small subunit ribosomal RNA", at positions 524 to 776 of the family's 1533-position model. The record is from RNAcentral.
UACAGAGGUCCCGAGCGUGUCCGGAAUUAUUGGGCGUAAAGAGCUUGUAGGCGGUUUGUCGCGUCUGCCGUGAAAAUUCGAGGCUCAACCUCGAACUUGCGGUGGGUACGGGCAGACUAGAGUGUGGUAGGGGAGACUGGAAUUCCUGGUGUAGCGGUGAAAUGCGCAGAUAUCAGGAGGAACACCGAUGGCGAAGGCAGGUCUCUGGGCCACUACUGACGUGAGAAGCGAAAGCAUGGGGAGCGAACAGG